This 1111-nucleotide long non-coding RNA is filed under the name Heterocephalus glaber (naked mole-rat). RNAcentral describes it as "lncRNA (ENSHGLG00100046564.1)". Lineage: Eukaryota; Metazoa; Chordata; Mammalia; Rodentia; Bathyergidae. The record is from RNAcentral.
CUCAACUGGUCCUGCACGGCCUGGCCCAGGAGCGCGUUUUGCACCCAGCCGUUUAGCACGGCUUUCACAGACAUGUCGCAGGCACCAGAAAAUGGGAGCAAUGAAGCAACAGCCAGAUGACUUGGGAAAAAAAGACGGUCUGAGGGGCUGGGGGCUCAGUGCUGCCUCGGCUGCCCGCCCGGGGAGGAGGCCUGGGUUGCUCCCGCUCACAGCCAAGAGGUGCCGGGGGCCAGGAGCCCAGGGCCUCGCCUCGGACACUCGGCUUUCCUAGGACAAUCGCUGCCCUAAGGGCUCCUCCGCCUUGCUGGGAGAGCUCGUGGGAAGGGUCUUUCCCACAGCCCGGUGACGGCAGGGUCUCAUGGCCGAGGCUGCUGGGGUCCUCGUCCCUGCUCAUGGCCUGCCCUGUUCCUCUCCUCUCAGAAGCCCUGGACUCCUGAUGUCCCCUCACCUGCUUCCUGCCCUCCCUGCUGGGCAGAGCCUCGGCCGAUGCCACCGUCAGCAGAUCGGGAACAUGAUCCACUCGCCUGACACUCAGGGAUGGUGACCUGCAGACUCAUGGGCCACACAAAGCCGUGGAAGACAGUGUCAGGCUGGCAAGGAGGACUUUCUCCAGGGGACAGGAAGAGGCCCGGCCACACCAGUCCGAGGCGUGGCCUCCCUGGCCGCUGCCCUUCUGGCACAGAGAGCUGGAAGGAGCCCGGCAUGCGCUGCGAGCCCCAAGUGUAAACGGGAGGCAGGCCGAGCUCUCGCUGGCCUUCUCCCUCCCGUCCUCCCUCUGGCUGCACUCAGCUUGCGAAGCACCGUGCUUGCCUGCUUUUCUAUAGUUGGCUUCUCUUUUUUUGGUACCGGGGAUUGAACUUGGGACCUCGUGCUUGGAGGCAGGUGCCAGAACCACUGAGCUACAUCCCGGGCCCUGCCUGGUUUUCUUAAGAUUCUUUGUUUUUUGCUAUAAUUGAAAAAAACCCCAAUAGAUAAAACAAGUGCUAGUGAGCUUUUAGUGACCCCAACUGUUAAAGUAUAGCUGUACGCAUUGUUUAAUGUGAUUUAUACAAUAGAUCAGUAAGUGACUGGAUUUGUUAUCCUACACUCAAUACAAAUCAAUAGAAUUCAG